GAUGAACGCUGGCGGCGUGCUUAACACAUGCAAGUCGAGCGAAGCGGCUGAAUUGAUUCUUCAGAUGAUUUUCAGUUGACUGAGCGGCGGACGGGUGAGUAACGCGUGGGUGACCUGCCCCAUACCGGGGGAUAACAGCUGGAAACGGCUGCUAAUACCGCAUAAGCGCACAGAGCUGCAUGGCUCGGUGUGAAAAACUCCGGUGGUAUGGGAUGGGCCCGCGUCUGAUUAGGCAGUUGGCGGGGUAACGGCCCACCAAACCGACGGUCAGUAGCCGGCCUGAGAGGGCGACCGGCCACAUUGGGACUGAGACACGGCCCAAACUCCUACGGGAGGCAGCAGUGGGGAAUAUUGCACAAUGGGGGAAACCCUGAUGCAGCGACGCCGCGUGAGCGAAGAAGUAUUUCGGUAUGUAAAGCUCUAUCAGCAGGGAAGAUAAUGACGGUACCUGACUAAGAAGCCCCGGCUAACUACGUGCCAGCAGCCGCGGUAAUACGUAGGGGGCAAGCGUUAUCCGGAUUUACUGGGUGUAAAGGGAGCGUAGACGGCAAGGCAAGUCUGAUGUGAAAACCCAGGGCUUAACCCUGGGACUGCAUUGGAAACUGUCUGGCUCGAGUGCCGGAGAGGUAAGCGGAAUUCCUAGUGUAGCGGUGAAAUGCGUAGAUAUUAGGAAGAACACCAGUGGCGAAGGCGGCUUACUGGACGGUAACUGACGUUGAGGCUCGAAAGCGUGGGGAGCAAACAGGAUUAGAUACCCUGGUAGUCCACGCCGUAAACGA
This 779-nucleotide ribosomal RNA is filed under the name uncultured bacterium. RNAcentral describes it as "bacterial SSU rRNA". It matches the Rfam family "Bacterial small subunit ribosomal RNA", at positions 28 to 809 of the family's 1533-position model. The record is from RNAcentral.